Molecule: long non-coding RNA, 408 nt
Organism: Dipodomys ordii (Ord's kangaroo rat)
Lineage: Eukaryota; Metazoa; Chordata; Mammalia; Rodentia; Heteromyidae
Exons: 3
Source: RefSeq, a predicted model, not a curated record
GCAUGACAGACCCAACCCAGGUAUUUCUCCAGAAGAUCAGAACUUCCUGCCCGAGGGAGAGAAGGUGCAGGCUGGGGAACAGAAGUGCUUUCUCUGCCCGCCUGGGCUGUCUUCAAGGAGAGCUGGAGACCGAGACCGCUCUCCUCUUUCUGGUUCCCCUGCUCCCUCAGCAGUUCCAUCCCCAGCCUGCCACGGAAAAGUGUUCCGGCUUGGAUCUGGAAUGUUCUCCCAGAGGCUCAAGGGUUGAAAGUUUGGUCUCCCGCUGGUGGUGCUACUGGGAGAACUGGGAGGUGGAAGAAAGAGCCACAGCACUGGAAAAGAGAAGGAAACGGAUGUCCCUAAGAGACUCCAGAAAGCAAGAGAGACUUCCCGACACCUUGGAUUUAGCUCAUAGAAACUCACAUUAGA